This 21-nucleotide non-coding RNA is filed under the name Caenorhabditis elegans. Lineage: Eukaryota; Metazoa; Nematoda; Chromadorea; Rhabditida; Rhabditidae. The record is from RNAcentral.
UCGGUACGUAUUAUAGUUAUU